RNAcentral lists this ribosomal RNA (253 nucleotides) under uncultured bacterium. RNAcentral's name for it is "partial 16S ribosomal RNA". It matches the Rfam family "Bacterial small subunit ribosomal RNA", at positions 524 to 776 of the family's 1533-position model. The record is from RNAcentral.
UACGGAGGGAGCUAGCGUUGUUCGGAAUUACUGGGCGUAAAGCGCGCGUAGGCGGCUUUGUAAGUUAGAGGUGAAAGCCCGGGGCUCAACCCCGGAACUGCCUUUAAGACUGCAUCGCUUGAAUCCGGGAGAGGUGAGUGGAAUUCCGAGUGUAGAGGUGAAAUUCGUAGAUAUUCGGAAGAACACCAGUGGCGAAGGCGGCUCACUGGACUGGUAUUGACGCUGAGGUGCGAAAGCGUGGGGAGCAAACAGG